UCCUUCCCUUGUCAGUGCGCAUGGCCGCCGGCCAUCCGAUUUGUUGAAAAAUAGAUAAGCAAAAAACCUCUGUUCUACCCUUCUUCUUUUGGCUUUUUUCGACGUCAGUGGUCAUCACUGACACCGAUUUGGCCUCUCCGGGCUACGUCGUCACAACCUCACUGGUCGCCGGUCGGUGCCUUCCAAUCUGAGAAACAAGAAGGGGGA
RNAcentral lists this long non-coding RNA (207 nucleotides) under Elaeis guineensis (African oil palm). RNAcentral's name for it is "long non-coding RNA (EGUI_LNC008202)". The record is from RNAcentral. Lineage: Eukaryota; Viridiplantae; Streptophyta; Magnoliopsida; Arecales; Arecaceae.